AUGGAUCUUGUUCAUGAAGUCAAGGAUCUUUUAGAUUCAUUGGAAAUCAGCAAGAUAAGAACCAAGAUGUUCUACCUAGCUUUCAUUAUUGGCAAGGACUUUGGUGCCAUCAUAGCAUAUCUUGUAGCUGUUGUCUAUCCGGAAAAAGUAGCUUCUGUCAUAACUUUAGGCAUUCCUUUCAUCAAUCCUGGUGCUUCUGCUGUCAAAAAAGAUCUUCUCCCAAAAGGCUUUUACAUUACUAGGCGGCAGGAGCCUGGGAGGGCAGAAGCCGAUUUUGGCUGA
Molecule: non-coding RNA, 282 nt
Organism: Vicia faba (fava bean)
Lineage: Eukaryota; Viridiplantae; Streptophyta; Magnoliopsida; Fabales; Fabaceae
Source: the annotation of a GenBank genome assembly